This 1161-nucleotide ribosomal RNA is filed under the name Dacrymyces cf. minutus. The record is from RNAcentral. Lineage: Eukaryota; Fungi; Basidiomycota; Dacrymycetes; Dacrymycetales; Dacrymycetaceae.
UGAUGGAGCUAACUAAAUUCAUUAGCAUCUAAAUGUUAAGAAAAAUGUAACAGAGAGAUAAUAACACGUUGUUACGAAGAGUACAGACUAAUCGCCGUGCCAGCAGUUGCGGUAAAACGGCUUGUACAAACGUUAAUCCUCAUUAAUAGGCAUAAAGGGUUCGUAGGCAGCUCUUGGGUAAACCAACGAAGAGAUAGAAUCAGAUAGAGGAUAAUACAACAUUUGGAACAGGGUCGAUAUCCUUAGAUACCUUAUGGAGUGGCAACAGCGAAGGCAGUUAUCUGGCUAUGAUUGACGCUGAGGAACUAAGGUUUGGGAAGGAAACAGGAUGUGCGACUUGAUAAGCUUAAAUAUUAUAUUGUAUCCAUAGGAUACAUUAUCUUUCAUCUGAUAAUAGUCUGCCUAAACAAGCAUAAUUAGUAAUAAUAUUGUUUGAAGCUUUAGGGUAAAGUUAAUUGUUGGUUAUCUAACCAUAAUUUAAGUUUUAAAUUUAUAAUUAAUUAUAAGUUUACGAAAUUAAGUUAAUUAACGAAGGCUGAUUUUUAUGGUUAAGAAAACUGAACUUACAGUAUAAAACAUAUUAAAUAAACAACUUAACGUCCUGGUGAGUUGGAGAUGAAUACAAAAUUUAAUAUUGUAAAGUAAGAACCUAACAAAAUCUAUAGUAUGUAUAUAAGAACAAGGUAAUACCUAUAAUUUGCAAUAUAAUAUAAUAAAUUGCUAGUUUAUUUGUGAAAAUAAAUAUUUAUUUAGAGGUAGUAUGAUAAGAAAAAAGCGAAUGCUAAUUUGUAACAAAUUAGAUAAAAUUUAAUUAUAAAUUAAUCUGAAAAGAUGCUAACUUUCUAUUGGUGUGAGUAAAAAUAUUUUGAUAUAAGAAGACGUGGGCCUAAAAAUAAAAAAAAGGUCUUUUAAAAGAGACUCUUGAAAGAACAUUAAGGAUUUUUUAUUAAAAAAAAUCCUGUCUAAUACAAAUUAGAUAAACCUUUUUAAUAAUUCAGUUGUUUUAUACAUUUUUAUCCAAGAGUACUCAUUAAAAUAGUCCGCUCUUAAAUAAAUAUUAAGGGAAAUAUAUUUCAAUAUUAUCCUAUUAUUUGAGUAAAAAUCGUUAUUGAUACAAAUAUUAUCACGUCUCGUUUAAACGAGACGUGAUAAUAUUUGUUA